AUGGGAAUAGAAGCUUUUAUUUCUUUGGAUGAUCAAUUUGCUUGUUAUUUUUUCAAUAAUUGAUUGACAACAUUUGUUAUGUUGAUAGGAAUGAAUAAUAUCUUGCAAUUUCCUUAUUAAGCCUCAGAAAAAAUUUAUUAUGUAACGUUACAUAAUAAAUUUAUUAUUUCUCAAGUUGCUUAAUGUUUUAACACAAAUUGUAGAAAUUAAAAAUUUAAAAGUCCCAUUUUGUAUGACAUUGUUUUACCAUAUAUAUGAACUUUGUUGUCCACGGUAUUUGUUGUAUUGGAUGUUUGCUAUAUAACAUUUUAACUUAUGGAUGUUAUCAAACGUAUGUUCAAUUGAAUGGUGAUCCAUAAGUAGGAACCAACUAGAUUUGGUCAAUGUUGUAAACAAUAUAAAUGGCGCUCAUUAAAACUGCCCUCAGUAUAAAAUUACAUAAAAUAUUAAGAAUAUUGUAUUGGGAUCAAAAAUAUGAUAUUUCAGUUUCUAAACAUUAAAAUGGGACAAUUUGCAUAUUUAAGUAAUCUCUAUUGUAUGAAUAUUUCAGCAUGUUAGCUUAAUUGAAAUAAAACAUUGAAUAAGCAUUAAUGUAAAACUAUGAGCACACCUUAUGAUUAAAUAAAAUACAUGAAGAGUAUGUGUGUGUGUGUGUGUAUAAUAUGUUAUUUAUAAUUUCAAUCUUCAACGAAGAUUAUGAAUACACACACGCUUAGGCGAACAAUCUGAGAAUGAAAAAACUUUGGAGAAUAGAAUGUUAGAUAUCUGAAAGGUUCAUGUAUUAUGGCUUGCAGACAGUAUCUCGGAGAACAAUGCUGUUGAUAAUCGCACUGAAUGACGCUAUGAUUGUUUUAAGGAGGUUUGUACGUUCUUGUAUUAAUCAGCAUUGUUACCUUAUAUUCGUAACACAAGAUUUAAUAUACGCAUCGCAGUAUAACAUAUGAAAAUGUUAAAGGUCUAAAAUAAACAUAUAAGAAUUAUA
Molecule: long non-coding RNA, 982 nt
Organism: Bombus huntii
Lineage: Eukaryota; Metazoa; Arthropoda; Insecta; Hymenoptera; Apidae
Exons: 3
Source: RefSeq, a predicted model, not a curated record